Molecule: long non-coding RNA, 1308 nt
Filed under: Capra hircus (goat)
Lineage: Eukaryota; Metazoa; Chordata; Mammalia; Artiodactyla; Bovidae
Description: lncRNA (ENSCHIG00000008259.1)
Source: RNAcentral
CGCCCCCCCGCCACGCGCCACGCGCCACGCGCCACGCGCCGGCCGUCUACACGCCGGCUGCCCGUUGCCCUGGCAACCGUCGCGCAGCGUCUUCCUGAGGGAGCUCCUGUCAGCCGGAGGAUCCCGUCGCCCGCUCCCCACUGCCCCGCAAUUUUCGCGUGGGCUCAGAGGCGGAACGACAACAAAAAAUGGCGGAGCGGAGCCAGACGGCGCCUGAGGCAGGCAGUGAUAUGGGAAAUGAUGAUGCCAUCGGAGGGAAUGUGAGCAAAUAUGUGGUGCUUCCAACUGGAUACUGUGGACAGCCCAAGAAAGGACAUCUUAUCUUUGAUGCUUGCUUUGAAAGUGGUAACCUUGGACGGGUGGACCAGGUCUCUGAGUUUGAGUAUGAUUUAUUUAUUAGGCCGGACACCUGUAAUCCUCGCUUCCGAGUCUGGUUCAACUUUACUGUUGAAAAUGUGAAAGAAUCACAGCCUGCGUGAGAAAGAAAAGAAUGAGACUGAAAAUUUGAUGUCGACUGAAAAUUCAGCUUUUAAGUAUCAUAUGUUGUGGCUAUGUUACUAUUGCCUGGAGGGAUGUCCAUUUCCUGAUAAUAUAUAUACAUAUAUAUAUUUAUAUUUGCCUCAACCUCUAAAGAGUUUUAGAAUUAAUAUUAUUUUCCCCUCUUUGGGUAUGUUUUCCUUUGAGAGUGGAAUUUGGGUCUUGGCACUGGUAUAUUAGAUCAAUGCUCUUACUGUCCUUGAUUUAGUCUAGUGUUUCUUCACAGUUCACAUUGCCCUUCAUGCGGAGCCAAGCUGGUAAUACACCCUUGAGGUAAUGUGAAAAUGCUUUCACUAGCUCAGUUCCCUUCCCCGCCAGCAUGCCUGGGUCACCUUCACAACAUCAAGAUUAGGUGUACAUGCAUUGUAAUAAAUAAUGCCUUGUGUAGGAGCAAUGUGACUGGAAUCUGUUGAAAUAUGGCCUAUUAUAUUACAAUUUAUGUUUCGAUUAUCAGUUUUAUUAUAUGAAACAAGCUUGAGCUUUAUAAAGUCAUCCAGAAAAGAGAUCUGCAUCACUGAUGGGACUGGCUGUCUACUUGGCUUCUGUGCCUAGCAGAGUGAGAAUCAUAUGUACAUUUCUAAGGCUAUUAUUUUUUCUGUAUCCACUUUGAAGAUCCAGAUUGGAUUACUUAGCAAAUUAUUCUUUGAAAUACCUCUAAUGGUGUUAUAUGAAAGUCCUAGACAUAGCACUUCUUCAUCCCCAUGUCAGAAGGAUCUUCAUGAAAUGCAAAUCUAAUCACAUAUCCCUUUAUGCCUUACCUCCUAUAAUGAC